Molecule: long non-coding RNA, 282 nt
Filed under: Gallus gallus (chicken)
Lineage: Eukaryota; Metazoa; Chordata; Aves; Galliformes; Phasianidae
Source: RNAcentral
GAUCUUGGAGCACUUGAAGACUAAUAUAUCAAGCUGUACAGAGAAAGAACAAGCCUGGGUUCAUGUACUGAAGAUUACACAACAACAGAAGUGGGAAGACAAAUAUAAACGAGAAGAAUCAAUUCACUUUUCCUCCUGAAGGAGUUAUUCUCCGCAGCAUUCUGAAGGCUAUGAAUGAAGGAAAUUGCUGUUCUCGCCAUCACCAGGAACCAUCAGCUUGGCAGGUGAGAUCUUUCAUGCUGACGGUAGGCUGGGAGUAGAGUUACCUAAAUUCUAGCUUCC